RNAcentral lists this ribosomal RNA (354 nucleotides) under uncultured Thauera sp. Its description in RNAcentral is "bacterial SSU rRNA". It matches the Rfam family "Bacterial small subunit ribosomal RNA", at positions 8 to 362 of the family's 1533-position model. The record is from RNAcentral. Lineage: Bacteria; Pseudomonadati; Pseudomonadota; Betaproteobacteria; Rhodocyclales; Zoogloeaceae.
AGAGUUUGAUCAUGGCUCAGAUUGAACGCUGGCGGCAUGCUUUACACAUGCAAGUCGAACGGCAGCACGGGCUUCGGCCUGGUGGCGAGUGGCGAACGGGUGAGUAAUGCAUCGGAACGUGCCCAUUUGUGGGGGAUAACGCGGCGAAAGUCGCGCUAAUACCGCAUACGCCCUGAGGGGGAAAGCGGGGGAUUCUUCGGAGCCUCGCGCAAUUGGAGCGGCCGAUGUCAGAUUAGCUAGUUGGUAGGGUAAAGGCCUACCAAGGCGACGAUCUGUAGCGGGUCUGAGAGGAUGAUCCGCCACACUGGGACUGAGACACGGCCCAGACUCCUACGGGAGGCAGCAGUGGGGAAU